RNAcentral lists this transfer RNA (91 nucleotides) under Candidatus Alistipes equi. RNAcentral describes it as "tRNA-Ser". It matches the Rfam family "tRNA". From Rfam's summary of the family: Transfer RNA (tRNA) molecules are approximately 80 nucleotides in length. Their secondary structure includes four short double-helical elements and three loops (D, anti-codon, and T loops). The record is from RNAcentral. Lineage: Bacteria; Pseudomonadati; Bacteroidota; Bacteroidia; Bacteroidales; Rikenellaceae.
GGAGAGAUGCAGGAGUGGUUGAACUGGGCCGCCUGGAAAGCGACUAAACCUCAAAAGGGUUUCCGGGGUUCGAAUCCCCGUCUCUCCGCCA